GGAUGAAGAGUUUGCCCAAAGACAACUAGCAGCUUUAGUUGCUUCGAAGGUUUUCUAUCAUUUGGGCGAACAUAAUGACUCAUUAUCCUAUGCCCUUGGAGCUGGCCCUCUUUUUGAUGUUAAUGAGGAAUCUGACUAUGUUCAUACUGUUCUUGCUAAAGCACUGGAUAAAUAUGCGAGUCAUAAGACUAAGGCCGCCGAGUCAAAUGAUGAAGCUGUAAAGGUUGAUCCUAGGUUGGAGGCUAUUGUUGAGAGAAUGCUUGAGAAGUGUAUAGUGGAUCGAAAGUAUCAACAAGCAAUUGGCAUGGCCAUUGAAUGCAGAAGGCUGGAUAAGGUUGCUGAAGCAAUUGUAAGAAGUGAUAAUGUAGAUGCAACUCUAGCAUAUUGCAGUAAUGUCUCCCAUAACUUCGUCAGUCGCAGAGUAUAUCGAAGUGAGGUGCUUCGUCUUCUUGUUGAAGUGUAUGAGGGGACACCGUCUCCAAACUAUUUGAGCAUGUGUCAGUGGCUUAUGUUUUUGGACAAACCAGAGAAUGUAGCAAGCAUAUUAGAGAAGCUUUUACGCUCAGAAAAUAAGGAUGAUGUCCUACUGGCAUUUCAAAUAGCUUUUGAC
RNAcentral lists this unclassified non-coding RNA (610 nucleotides) under Hevea brasiliensis (rubber tree). Lineage: Eukaryota; Viridiplantae; Streptophyta; Magnoliopsida; Malpighiales; Euphorbiaceae. The record is from RNAcentral.